GCUGGCGUAGCUCAGCUGGUAGAGCAGCUGUUUCGUAAACAGCAGGUCCUCGGUUCAAGUCCGAGCGCCAGCU
This 73-nucleotide transfer RNA is filed under the name Candidatus Omnitrophota bacterium. Its description in RNAcentral is "Candidatus Omnitrophica bacterium (groundwater metagenome) tRNA-Thr". It matches the Rfam family "tRNA". From Rfam's summary of the family: Transfer RNA (tRNA) molecules are approximately 80 nucleotides in length. Their secondary structure includes four short double-helical elements and three loops (D, anti-codon, and T loops). The record is from RNAcentral. Lineage: Bacteria; Pseudomonadati; Candidatus Omnitrophota.